RNAcentral lists this ribosomal RNA (498 nucleotides) under uncultured bacterium. Its description in RNAcentral is "partial 16S ribosomal RNA". It matches the Rfam family "Bacterial small subunit ribosomal RNA", at positions 28 to 507 of the family's 1533-position model. The record is from RNAcentral.
GACGAACGCUGGCGGCGUGCCUAAUACAUGCAAGUCGAACGAGAGCGCCCGGUGCUUGCCCUGGUCAAUCUAGUGGCAAACGGGUGAGUAACACGUGGGUAACCCGCCCAUCAGAGGGGGAUAACAUCCGGAAACGGAUGCUAAAACCGCAUAGGUCUUCGAACCGCAUGGUUUGAAGAGGAAAAGAGGCGCAAGCUUCUGCUGAUGGAUGGACCCGCGGUGCAUUAGCUAGUUGGUGAGGUAACGGCUCACCAAGGCCGUGAUGCAUAGCCGACCUGAGAGGGUGAUCGGCCACAUUGGGACUGAGACACGGCCCAAACUCCUACGGGAGGCAGCAGUAGGGAAUCUUCCGCAAUGGACGCAAGUCUGACGGAGCAACGCCGCGUGAGUGAAGAAGGUUUUCGGAUCGUAAAACUCUGUUGUUAGAGAAGAACAAGUGCUAGAGUAACUGUUAGCGCCUUGACGGUAUCUAACCAGAAAGCCACGGCUAACUACGUG